RNAcentral lists this ribosomal RNA (253 nucleotides) under uncultured bacterium. RNAcentral describes it as "partial 16S ribosomal RNA". It matches the Rfam family "Bacterial small subunit ribosomal RNA", at positions 524 to 776 of the family's 1533-position model. The record is from RNAcentral.
UACGAAGGGGGCUAGCGUUGUUCGGAAUUACUGGGCGUAAAGCGCACGUAGGCGGAUUUGUUAGUCAGGGGUGAAAUCCCGGGGCUCAACCUCGGAACUGCCUUUGAUACUGCAAGUCUCGAGUCCGGAAGAGGUGAGUGGAAUUCCUAGUGUAGAGGUGAAAUUCGUAGAUAUUAGGAAGAACACCAGUGGCGAAGGCGGCUCACUGGUCCGGUACUGACGCUGAGGUGCGAAAGCGUGGGGAGCGAACAGG